Long non-coding RNA from Etheostoma cragini (Arkansas darter), 248 nucleotides. RefSeq lists it as uncharacterized. NCBI's taxonomy places the organism in Eukaryota, Metazoa, Chordata, Actinopteri, Perciformes, Percidae. The record is from RefSeq and is a predicted model, not a curated record. The transcript has 3 exons.
AGAGUGAGAAUAUUGAGGUAAACCAUCCAUAUGGAUCUUUCUCAGCACAAGUAUUUUUCUCUUGGACAGACACAUUAUUUUGAAUGUUCCUUAGAAAAAGAACAAUACAGGUUUAUUACAUGAGAAAUAAAACAAUGUCUUUCCCAUCUACAGAAAGAAACCACAGGCUCCCAUCCAGCAGUUCUCCUCCAUAGCAUGAAUUUAAAACAGUUGAGCCUAAAUUGAAAUUUAAAUGCUGAAACAAUCUG